CUUUCCCUCUUUCUUCAUGCUUUACACAUGCAAGUCGAACGGCAGCGCGGGCUUCGGCCUGGCGGCGAGUGGCGAACGGGUGAGUAAUACAUCGGAACGUGCCCAGUAGUGGGGGAUAGCUCGGCGAAAGCCGGAUUAAUACCGCAUACGACCUGAGGGUGAAAGCGGGGGAUCUUCGGACCUCGCGCUAUUGGAUCGGCCGAUGGCAGAUUAGCUAGUUGGUGGGGUAAAGGCCUACCAAGGCGACGAUCUGUAGCUGGUCUGAGAGGACGACCAGCCACACUGGAACUGAGACACGGCCCAGACUCCUACGGGAGGCAGCAGUGGGGAAUUUUGGACAAUGGGCGAAAGCCUGAUCCAGCAAUGCCGCGUGUGUGAUGAAGGCCUUCGGGUUGUAAAGCACUUUUGGCGGGAACGAAAAGGACUGUGCCAAUACCACGGUUCGAUGACGGUACCCGCAGAAUAAGCACCGGCUAACUACGUG
Molecule: ribosomal RNA, 484 nt
Filed under: uncultured bacterium
Lineage: Bacteria
Description: partial 16S ribosomal RNA
Rfam family: Bacterial small subunit ribosomal RNA
Source: RNAcentral